RNAcentral lists this transfer RNA (88 nucleotides) under Candidatus Similichlamydia laticola. It matches the Rfam family "tRNA". From Rfam's summary of the family: Transfer RNA (tRNA) molecules are approximately 80 nucleotides in length. Their secondary structure includes four short double-helical elements and three loops (D, anti-codon, and T loops). Further hydrogen bonds mediate the characteristic L-shaped molecular structure. tRNAs have two regions of fundamental functional importance: the anti-codon, which is responsible for specific mRNA codon recognition, and the 3' end, to which the tRNAs corresponding amino acid is attached (by aminoacyl-tRNA synthetases). tRNAs cope with the degeneracy of the genetic code in two manners: having more than one tRNA (with a specific anti-codon) for a particular amino acid; and 'wobble' base-pairing, i.e. permitting non-standard base-pairing at the 3rd anti-codon position. Lineage: Bacteria; Pseudomonadati; Chlamydiota; Chlamydiia; Parachlamydiales; Candidatus Parilichlamydiaceae. The record is from Rfam by way of RNAcentral.
GGAGAAGUGUCCGAGAGGCCGAAGGAGCACGAUUGGAAAUCGUGUAUGCGCCACAAGCGUAUCAUGGGUUCGAAUCCCAUCUUCUCCG